Long non-coding RNA from Triticum dicoccoides, 2392 nucleotides. RefSeq lists it as uncharacterized. Lineage: Eukaryota; Viridiplantae; Streptophyta; Magnoliopsida; Poales; Poaceae. The record is from RefSeq and is a predicted model, not a curated record. The transcript has 2 exons.
AGAAAAACAUUAUAGGCGCCACCCCCACCAGUUCUGCCCCAAAUUGAAUCCUCCUUCCCAUCCCAGUCCUCCCGCCGGACCAACGCCGCCGCCGAGCCCCUUCGCCCUCUACAGCCCCCUCCACCGCUGACCUGUUCAACCUCCACCGAUAUUAAUGGUGCCGGCGCAUCGAGGUCGACGUCGCUUCCCUCCACGCCCAUCUGGUGUGCGAGGUGGACAUCGCCUUCCUCCCUUAGGCUCCGCCAUCGAGAUUGGUCAACGCCGUCGGUGCUCGACGCUUGCCUCCCUCCUCAGCACCAGAUCCCACGACAGCACCGAGCCCCUCCAUCGUGCUGCAAGCCCGCCGACGGCAAGCACGUGAGGAAGCGGUGCUUCUUGGCUCCUCUACCAUCUCUAGGUCGUCGCGCCACCACCAUGCCUCCGCGCUGAUCUACAUCUGACGACCAUGGGCGGGCUUCCUCAACCCCAACGGCGAGCGCAGUGCGUGCUCCUCACUACGCUGGUACAAAAGGCUGCUCAGAUCUGUCAAGGUGGAAACCAGAUGCAAGUUGACGGCGGAUACUUGAGAGUAUUUGGUUUAUGUAACUUCUGAGCAGGUUCAUUGAUUCUAGAGUUGCGUCCUUCUGUUAUGUGUAGAUGUAGAUGUAAAAGAAACAGUAAGUAAUCUCCCUUUCUUUUCAUUUACAUUUGUUAUAAUUUUAUAUGACAUGUCUUAUUGCAGCUAUGCAUUGCUGCAAUUGUACAGAUCGCUUAUGAUAAAAAGGGAAUAAUAUUUUGUCCAAACUGAGCAGAUGAGAGAAUAAUAAUGCUUAUUUUCUGAUGAAAAAUGUGGCUUCCGUAAUAGCCUACAGUAGCUUUGGACCGAACUAGAUGGGCACUCUCUGCUACCUUGCAAGUCUGUGUGUAACCUCACAUGAAAGUAUACUCAUUCACGUGCUGCUAUACUAUCUCCUAAUGCCUUCCCCUAAUAACAGAGGCCGUAAUCAAUACAUGUCAGGAAUAUGUCCUCAUCUGUACACAUAAAUAUCUACUACUGUACAUUGCAUCUAAUUUAUUGUAUGCUUUCCUGGUCUAAUGAACUGGAAUUGAAGUCCUGUUUUGGUUUGUUCUUAAAUCUCACGUAUGUACCUGAAUACCAUCUAUGGUUUACUUUCUUAGAUACAUUAAAUUUUAGUAAGUUUCAUGGAAACAAUUUUGCACAUCUAAAUUAUGGUGCGACCCCUUCUGAUUAUGUGUUGAUGAUCAUAAUGGAUUAUGGAAUGGUAAGAUACUCUGAAGCUUCUGAUUGCUAUCUGCACUAUUGUAUAUUUAAAACAUGAUUCAUAUAUGAUAUUUUGCAAUUUGUUAUCCUCCCAUAAUCACCCAGUUAAGGAAUUCCUCCAUUAAAAGUAUACCAAAUGCUCUUUUAUUACUGUAUUUUACACUCUUGGGUACAACUUAUUUGUUUUGUUGUUUUUACUAGGGAGAAACUUCAUUGUGCUGUCAAGUGAUCAAACUAACAAUUUUCCUUGAUCUGGCACAGAUUUUAUAGAAGUAGCUGGAAACUAGAAUCAGGAGCACGUAUACUUUCUUUCGAGUUAUUGUUUGAGCUUUGAUCUAAGUCAGCAGAAUUAUUUUUUGUAACAUGGUUCUCAUCUCUGAACACAUGUUGUUUCUUUUAUGUUAUGAUUUUUUAAAACAGAACACAUUAAUUGACAUAUAAUUUGUUAGCUUUAUAUAACGUUUUAAUUCUCUGAAAUCAAUUAUUGCAAAGAUUCAUUGCCAGUGCUCCAUGUUGUAAAGAUUCAUGCUUUUAGUGGCUAUAUUAAUCCAAAGUUCUCUUUAAAUGGUUAUCUCAUUACAUCCAGCAACUUUCAUCUGUACCAUCUUAUCUGUUCAGGUUGGCGUCACAGAAGAUAUUCUGGGAAACAUGUAGUUGUACUAGUGAACUAGGAUGUUUACAUGGUGAUUCAUCUGUUCAUAGUGACAACACAAUCAAGUGGGGUGAGGCUAUCAAUCUGUGAUCUUUCAAGCAUUGCAAGUUUGGUGCUCUUCUGCUGGAGACAUGGGGCCCUCUUUGAAUAAUGCAGUUUCACAUGAUGAUGGCGAGUCUGGUAUUCAGAACAUCUCAUGAAAAUGGCAAUUUCAUUUGGCAAACGGCUGAGCUGAAAUAUACACAAGUGUGAACAUGCCAUUGUUUCCUAGACAUAGUUGUAGCCAUAUGUCAAGAUCAAACCGUUAGUGUAGCUUAGUUUGAAGACAUGACAUCUUAUUGUCACAUGUAAAUUAUGUUUACCGAUGUGGUUGGUGGCUACUGAACACAUCUAUGGAUGUUGAAAUCUUGAAUUUGUAGUUUGAAUAUGUUUCAGGUCUGCUAUUGGAUCUUGAGUGAAAUGAUGUAUGAUGCCUCUGC